Molecule: ribosomal RNA, 742 nt
Filed under: uncultured Ventosimonas sp.
Lineage: Bacteria; Pseudomonadati; Pseudomonadota; Gammaproteobacteria; Pseudomonadales; Ventosimonadaceae
Description: bacterial SSU rRNA
Rfam family: Bacterial small subunit ribosomal RNA
Source: RNAcentral
GCAGGCCUAAUACAUGCAAGUCGAGCGGUAACAGGGGAGCUUGCUCCCGCUGACGAGCGGCGGACGGGUGAGUAAAGUCUAGGAAUCUGCCCAGUAGUGGGGGACAACGCGGGGAAACUCGCGCUAAUACCGCAUACGCCCUACGGGGGAAAGGUGCUUUAUUGUACCGCUAUUGGAUGAGCCUAGAUCAGAUUAGCUAGUUGGUGGGGUAAAGGCCCACCAAGGCGACGAUCUGUAGCUGGUCUGAGAGGAUGAUCAGCCACACUGGGACUGAGACACGGCCCAGACUCCUACGGGAGGCAGCAGUGGGGAAUAUUGGACAAUGGGGGAAACCCUGAUCCAGCCAUGCCGCGUGUGUGAAGAAGGUCUUCGGAUUGUAAAGCACUUUAAGUUGGGAGGAAGGGGUGAAGUAAUGACUCACCUUUGACGUUACCAACAGAAUAAGCACCGGCUAACUUCGUGCCAGCAGCCGCGGUAAUACGAAGGGUGCAAGCGUUAAUCGGAAUUACUGGGCGUAAAGCGCGCGUAGGUGGUUUAUCAAGUUGGAUGUGAAAUCCCUGGGCUCAACCUAGGAACUGCAUCCAAAACUGAUUGACUAGAGUAUAGUAGAGGUUAGUGGAAUUUCCUGUGUAGCGGUGAAAUGCGUAGAUAUAGGAAGGAACACCAGUGGCGAAGGCGACUAACUGGACUAAUACUGACACUGAGGUGCGAAAGCGUGGGGAGCAAACAGGAUUAGAUACCC